Long non-coding RNA from Heterocephalus glaber (naked mole-rat), 944 nucleotides. The record is from Ensembl. Lineage: Eukaryota; Metazoa; Chordata; Mammalia; Rodentia; Bathyergidae.
UCAGGGUGACUCACGCUGCGCACAGGAGGGGUGGCCAGGCGACCCCUGCAGCGCCCUGGGUGCACUGUGUCACUAGGCAUCUGAAGAGCCGCUCAGCUGUGUCCAGCCGGGCGUCGCCCCCUCCUCGGGGACUCCACCUCCUGCAGGCACAGUGGGCCACGCCUGCGUUUCCUCCUGGAAAAGCCUCCGCUCCUACUUCGCCCUCCAUUUCUGUGACUUGGGAGCGUCGGCCAGGCGUCCUUUGGAAAUGUCUGGGGAGCUGUCCCCUGCAGAAAUGGACACUGCCCCCGAAGCCUUGGAAUGUCAUGACUGCCCACGGGAGUGAGGCUUCUUCCACCGCCCUGCCACUCAGAGACACCCAGGAGCCCAGCUGGGGAAGGGUGCACUCCACAGUUAGCCUGUCCGGCUCCAGAUGUUCGGGCCUGGGCUGGUCACCUAGAGUCCUCAACCUGGUGUCCUCGAAGAGUGGCCAGGCUUUGGAACCAGCAUCUCUACAGCCCUGAACUCCCAGCGAUCCUCCUGCCUCAGGCUCCGGAGUGCAGGGAUCACAGGAGUCUGGGCCUGGUGUGGCUGGGCCCUCUCAGAGGCGGCACCAAGGUUGUCAGGGCUGAGAUGUCAUCUGAAGCUUGGUGGAGGAGACCCACAUCUUACCUUGUGAUCUUGCUGGGCAAUUCAGAACUGUUGAGCCAAGGGCCGGCCGGCCUGCCUGCCUGCCUUCCUUCCUUCCUUCCCUUCCUUCCUUCCUGAACCCAGGGCCUUUGCACUGAGCUACAUCCCCAGCUUUUUUAAUUAAAAAAAAUUUUUUUUAUCAUGAGACAAGUUCUCCCUAAGUUGUUAAAGUGUCCAGUCUAGGUUUGAACUUAAGAUCCUCCUACCUCAGCCUUCGGAGUGCUUGCCAUGGUCUGUUGGUGAAGAUGCAAGUCCCAGCCCUGCCCACACUCAAG